UAACUGCGAGUGAAGCGGGAAGAGCUCAAAUUUAAAAUCUGGCGGUUUUGCCGUCCGAGUUGUAAUCUGGAGAAGCGUUUUCCGUGCUGGACCGUGUACAAGUCUCUUGGAAUAGAGCGUCAUAGAGGGUGAGAAUCCCGUCUCUGACACGGACUGCCAGUGCUUUGUGAUACGCUCUCGAAGAGUCGAGUUGUUUGGGAAUGCAGCUCAAAAUGGGUGGUAAAUUCCAUCUAAAGCUAAAUAUUGGCGAGAGACCGAUAGCGAACAAGUACCGUGAGGGAAAGAUGAAAAGCACUUUGGAAAGAGAGUUAAACAGUACGUGAAAUUGUUGAAAGGGAAACGCUUGAAGUCAGUCGCGUCUUCUGGGACUCAGCGUGGCUUCUGCCUCGUGUACUUCCCAGUCGACGGGUCAACAUCGAUUUUGGUUGGCGGAUAAGGGCUUGRGGAAUGUGGCACCUCCGGGUGUGUUAUAGCCUCUUUUCGGAUGCGCUGGCUGGGAUCGAGGACCGCAGCACGCCUUUUUGGCCGGGGUUUACCCACGUAACGUGCUUAGGAUGUUGGCAUAAUGGCUUUAAGCGACCCGUCUUGAAACACGGACCAAGGAGUCUAACACGCCUGCGAGUGUUAGGGUGGAAAACCCUUGCGCGUAAUGAAAGUGAAAGUUGGGACCUCUGUCAUGGAGGGCACCGACGCCCGGCCCUGAACUUCUGUGACGGCGCUGCGGUAGAGCAUGUGUGUUGGGACCCGAAAGAUGGUGAACUAUGCCUGAAUAGGGCGAAGCCAGAGGAAACUCUGGUGGAGGCUCGUAGCGAUUCUGACGUGCAAAUCGAUCGUCAAAUUUGGG
This 844-nucleotide ribosomal RNA is filed under the name Leifia sp. RNAcentral's name for it is "partial large subunit ribosomal RNA". Lineage: Eukaryota; Fungi; Basidiomycota; Agaricomycetes; Hymenochaetales. The record is from RNAcentral.